This 497-nucleotide ribosomal RNA is filed under the name uncultured bacterium. Its description in RNAcentral is "partial 16S ribosomal RNA". It matches the Rfam family "Bacterial small subunit ribosomal RNA", at positions 28 to 507 of the family's 1533-position model. The record is from RNAcentral.
GAUGAACGCUGGCGGCGUGCCUAAUACAUGCAAGUCGAGCGAACAGACGAGGAGCUUGCUCCUUUGACGUUAGCGGCGGACGGGUGAGUAACACGUAGGUAACCUACCUAUAAGACUGGGAUAACUUCGGGAAACCGGAGCUAAUACCGGAUAAUAUUUCGAACCGCAUGGUUCGAUAGUGAAAGAUGGCUUUGCUAUCACUUAUAGAUGGACCUGCGCUGUAUUAGCUAGUUGGUAAGGUAACGGCUUACCAAGGCAACGAUACGUAGCCGACCUGAGAGGGUGAUCGGCCACACUGGAACUGAGACACGGUCCAGACUCCUACGGGAGGCAGCAGUAGGGAACCUUCCGCAAUGGGCGAAAGCCUGACGGAGCAACGCCGCGUGAGUGAUGAAGGUCUUCGGAUCGUAAAACUCUGUUAUUAGGGAAGAACAAACGUGUAAGUAACUGUGCACGUCUUGACGGUACCUAAUCAGAAAGCCACGGCUAACUACGUG